Molecule: ribosomal RNA, 512 nt
Filed under: uncultured bacterium
Lineage: Bacteria
Description: bacterial SSU rRNA
Rfam family: Bacterial small subunit ribosomal RNA
Source: RNAcentral
CUGGCGGCGUGCCUAACACAUGCAAGUCGAACGUGAAAGGGAGCAAUCCCAAGUAAAGUGGCGUACGGGUGAGUAACGCGUAGGUAAUCUACCCCAGAGUCUGGAAUAACCUGCCGAAAGGCGGGCUAAUACUGGAUAGAGCGACGGAAUCCGUAAUUGGGUUUUUCGGGAAAGGGAGGAAGCAAUUCCCUUCGCUCUGGGAUGAGCCUGCGUCUCAUUAGCUAGUUGGUGGGGUAAAGGCCCACCAAGGCGAUGAUGGGUACUGGUCUGAGAGGAUGAUCAGCCACACUGGAACUGAAACACGGUCCAGACUCCUACGGGAGGCAGCAGUGGGGAAUCUUGCGCAAUGGACGAAAGUCUGACGCAGCCACGCCGCGUGAGUGAAGAAGGCCUUCGGGUUGUAAAGCUCUGUCGCUCGGGACGAAAAACUGGGAAGUGAAUAGCUUUCUAGUCUGACGGUACCGAUAGAGGAAGCACCGGCUAACUCCGUGCCACAGCCGCGGUAAUACGGA